CAUGAAGAAGGAAUUCAAGCUCUGACAUGAGGAUUCCAGUGGAUUUCAGGUGUUCUGCACCUGGGAUCUGAAGACUUCCUACUUAUCCACUUGAAAUUUACGGUUGCUGCUCUGAACUAGAAAGAUUUAUGAAGUAUGACUGCUGAAGCAAGGUUUGUCAGCAGCAGAAGAUAUAUUCUGAGUCGAUCUCUUCUUUAAUGACAUCACGCUUGGUUAUUAAGCCCAGUGCUAAGUCUCAAACAAUGCAUGGUACAAACAACAAAAAAAAAAAAAAAUGAAAGGAAUGAGAGGAAGGAGGGAAGAAACAGCUGACUACAAACACCCUGAAAGAGGCUUAUGAUAAAAAAAAAAAAAA
Molecule: long non-coding RNA, 355 nt
Organism: Numida meleagris (helmeted guineafowl)
Lineage: Eukaryota; Metazoa; Chordata; Aves; Galliformes; Numididae
Exons: 4
Source: RefSeq, a predicted model, not a curated record